AGUGAGAGAGAGAGAGAGAGAGAGAGAGAGAGAGAGAGAGAUUGGGAGUGAGGCAGUGAGGCAGUGUGUAUGCCUUGCAUAACAUACUCUGUACCUCUUGUAUGCAAGGGCUUCAUGUGAGACAGCCCAGACAAGGGGACUUCCUUUAUGCUUACUCCUCCAGGGCUACUGCAGAAGGGAGGAGAGGAGAAGAGGAGGCAAGAGGAGAGGGCAGGAGAGCAAGGGACAAACACAGGACAUGGAGGAAUUCUGCAUCAUAUCAAAGAGUGCUUGAAGAUAAUGUGAUGUCAUCUGUCUGAAGGUUGAAGUUGAACUGAAAGUGGACCUUUCAACAGGAUAAUGAUCCUAAGCACACUAACAAAUCCACCAAAGAACGGCUCCAAAAGAAGAAAUGGAGGGUUACGGAAUGGCCUAGUCAAAGCCUGGAUUUGAAUCCCAUUGAAAUGAUGUUGGGGGAUUUGAAACGGGCAGAACAUGCAAGAAAACCCUCAAACAUCAUGCAACUGAAAGAAUACUGCAUGGAAGAGUGGUCAAAAAUUCCAGCAAGCCUGGUGGACAAUAAUGCCAAACUCCUACAAGAAGUUAUUUCUGCUAAAGGGGGCGAAACUAACUUCUGAGGCCAAGGGUGUACAUACUUUUGCCACAGAAUAAUAUCACAUCUAUUGAUAUUUCUGUUGAAUAAAUUAUUGAAAAAACUCAUUUUCCUUGUGGUUUUGUCCCUGUAUAUCAACUUUAUUAACGGGCACCAAUUCAAAGAUGAUCAAAUAUGAUUGCUUAUGUCAGAAAAGCC
Long non-coding RNA from Ictalurus punctatus (channel catfish), 790 nucleotides. NCBI's taxonomy places the organism in Eukaryota, Metazoa, Chordata, Actinopteri, Siluriformes, Ictaluridae. The record is from Ensembl.